Molecule: ribosomal RNA, 460 nt
Filed under: uncultured bacterium
Lineage: Bacteria
Description: partial 16S ribosomal RNA
Rfam family: Bacterial small subunit ribosomal RNA
Source: RNAcentral
CCUACGGGAGACAGCAGUGAGGAAUAUUGGUCAAUGGGCGAGAGCCUGAACCAGCCAAGUCGCGUGAAGGAUGACGGCCCUACGGGUUGUAAACUUCUUUUGUCAGGGAGCAAUUGGGUCCACGCGUGGGCUUAGCGAGAGUACCUGCAGAAAAAGCAUCGGCUAACUCCGUGCCAGCAGCCGCGGUAAUACGGAGGAUGCGAGCGUUAUCCGGAUUUAUUGGGUUUAAAGGGUGCGUAGGCGGAAUAUCAAGUCAGCGGUAAAAAUUCGGGGCUCAACCCCGUCGUGCCGUUGAAACUGAUGUUCUGGAGUGGGCGAGAAGUAGGCGGAAUGCGUGGUGUAGCGGUGAAAUGCAUAGAUAUCACGCAGAACUCCGAUUGCGAAGGCAGCAUACCGGCGCCCAACUGACGCUGAAGCACGAAAGCGUGGGUAUCGAACAGGAUUAGAUACCCCGGUAGUC